This 96-nucleotide transfer RNA is filed under the name Paracoccaceae bacterium. RNAcentral's name for it is "Rhodobacteraceae bacterium tRNA-Sec". It matches the Rfam family "Selenocysteine transfer RNA". The record is from RNAcentral. Lineage: Bacteria; Pseudomonadati; Pseudomonadota; Alphaproteobacteria; Rhodobacterales; Paracoccaceae.
GGAAGAGAAUCGCACCCCGGUGGGGCGCCUAGACUUCAAAUCUAGUGAGGGGCGUACCACGUCUCUGGUGGGUUCGACUCCCACUCUCUUUCGCCA